GUUCUUGUAGUUGAGUUAUCAACGAU
RNAcentral lists this transfer RNA (26 nucleotides) under Charmosyna placentis (red-flanked lorikeet). RNAcentral's name for it is "partial tRNA-Glu". Lineage: Eukaryota; Metazoa; Chordata; Aves; Psittaciformes; Psittaculidae. The record is from RNAcentral.